AUGUAGCUCAGUGGUAGAGUGCUUGCCUAGUAUGCUAGAGGCCCUGGGUUUUAUCCCCAGCAU
This 63-nucleotide transfer RNA is filed under the name Ictidomys tridecemlineatus (thirteen-lined ground squirrel). RNAcentral describes it as "Spermophilus tridecemlineatus (thirteen-lined ground squirrel) tRNA". It matches the Rfam family "tRNA", at positions 5 to 66 of the family's 71-position model. Rfam says of the family: Transfer RNA (tRNA) molecules are approximately 80 nucleotides in length. Their secondary structure includes four short double-helical elements and three loops (D, anti-codon, and T loops). Lineage: Eukaryota; Metazoa; Chordata; Mammalia; Rodentia; Sciuridae. The record is from Rfam by way of RNAcentral.